AUAAAAGAUUCGAUUUUCGUGUUAUUAAAAUUGUUUUUGUAACAAUUCCCUCUUAUUACAAUUUGAGUUCUUAAAUAAUAAAAUAUAAGAUAUUUUAUUAUAGAGCUAUCCAUCAAGGUAAUUAAUUUUACUUACUUCUUGUUUAUAAGGAGCGGCCUGACUAACAGGAGACUUAUAGUUCGAGAAUAUGUUAAAAGUAUUUAUUGCAUUAGAUGUAUGGAUUGAAAGAAUUAUUCAAUUUUA
RNAcentral lists this long non-coding RNA (243 nucleotides) under Nicotiana benthamiana. RNAcentral describes it as "long non-coding RNA (NBEN_LNC029258)". Lineage: Eukaryota; Viridiplantae; Streptophyta; Magnoliopsida; Solanales; Solanaceae. The record is from RNAcentral.